RNAcentral lists this ribosomal RNA (44 nucleotides) under Opuntia bakeri. RNAcentral describes it as "partial 18S ribosomal RNA". Lineage: Eukaryota; Viridiplantae; Streptophyta; Magnoliopsida; Caryophyllales; Cactaceae. The record is from RNAcentral.
GUCGUAACAAGGUUUCCGUAGGUGAACGUGCGGAAGCAUCAUUG